Panicum virgatum (switchgrass) is the source of this 1529-nucleotide long non-coding RNA. RefSeq lists it as uncharacterized. Lineage: Eukaryota; Viridiplantae; Streptophyta; Magnoliopsida; Poales; Poaceae. The record is from RefSeq and is a predicted model, not a curated record. The transcript has 4 exons.
ACAUGCACAGUUGUUUUCACAUGUACUCGUCGAAUCUCGAGGUAAGCAGAUCUAAUCUGCAGCUUCUUCCACAAUAUUCAAGUGCCACAAUAGGUGCUAAAAUACUGAGUCUUUGUAGACUGUGCUGUAUAGUCUAAAAGCAUCUUUUCUGCAAGUCUCCAACCCACUAUUCAUGCGUUCCAAACUAAUUCUGCAAUAGUACGAUUACUACCGGUUCUUGUUAUUAGUCCAUUCCUGGCUGCCUGCUGCAUGGUCUCCACUGCAUUCACUAAGACAACCGGCGUGCUGGUGGCUGCCUUAGCAAAGCCAUCAAACACCACGGCGUGCAGCGGAGGACGGGCCGCCCGUUGGUUGGCCCAGGCCCCAGGGAGACCUUGACUCGCGAGGCCACCGAGUCAAGUCGUCUGCCCCCACUCGCAGGAGAUGCUAGCGAGUAGUUUAAUUUUUUUUUCUUAUAUAUACAGGCAUGGGUAGAAGGAGCGCAUUAUCCACCGCACCAGGACAUUGCAAGCUCGCUGUGACAGCCAACUAAUCCUUUCGAUCUGCAUAUUCUAUAUUUGCAUCUUUUCGAUCUGCAAGUCCCCAUCCCACCAUUCAUCUGAUGCAAAGGGAGAGGAGCCUUUUGCAGCAAGCUGGUGGUGGCAUCCUUUCGCCCUGCUCCAGUUUGUGUCCAGUUUUCAUUUACUCCGCUGUUUGUGUCCUUGCGCCCUGCUCUGCUGAAGAAGCUUGAUGCUGGACAGUGUGCCCAUUUCUCAUGGACCAUUGAUUCAAGAGAUCCAAUUGGGAGCAAAAUAAUAUACCUUGAAACAUACAGAGCUCCAUACGAAGCACUCUAAUCAGUGCCUUAUCAGUUGACCCUUAUUCAGUAGUUGCCAUAGGAUCUGCUGGUUCUCGAUUCUCCUAGCAAUAAAGUGAUAGUCCUCAGUCAUCUAUUCUAUACAUUGGUCUCACCAGGCACCUGUGUUUUAAAUUGCAUCCCCUCUUUCAUGAAGGCCUUAAAAGUACUCAUGGGUAAUGAUCGGAUGAACAAACUGCUUGUUUAAGAAGAUUACUAUUGGUGGUUAUGAGACUCUUAGGCUCCUUGGAAGAUGGUUCGAGUUGUGCUUCAGAUUUGCAUGUCCUUGUAAGCAGAAGCUUGAUGCUAUGUGCACCAAUUUCUAUGGACUUCUUAAUCUCUCAAGUUUAUCUAAAAAGCUCUCAUUAAAGAGAAAAGUGCAGGGAGAAAAAAGAAUUGCACUGACACAUACUGAUCUCCUUCUGUAGUGUUCUGAUCAGUGGGUUACCAAUGCACCUAUAAUCAGGUUUAAUGAGCUCUGUUAUUUGUGGUUAUCCGUCGUUUAUUGGCUUAUAACUUCUGCUAUCCACAUUAUAAAGUGGUGUUUAAAAUCAGUUACUUUCAUCUGCCUAGCUUGGGCGCAGUCUGCUGGAUGUUUGAAGUCUUGAUGGGUUAUCAUCUGAUAAUUCUCUUUAUACAAAUAAAUAAUUAACAUUGAAUCUGGGCAUAAGUCAUUCUCUUAUUAACAGGUAAG